UGGGGAAUAUUGCACAAUGGGCGAAAGCCUGAUGCAGCAACGCCGCGUGAGUGAUGAAGGCCUUCGGGUUGUAAAGCUCUGUCUUUUGGGACGAUAAUGACGGUACCAAAGGAGGAAGCCACGGCUAACUACGUGCCAGCAGCCGCGGUAAUACGUAGGUGGCAAGCGUUGUCCGGAUUUACUGGGCGUAAAGGAUGCGUAGGCGGAUUUUUAAGUGAGAUGUGAAAUACCCGGGCUUAACUUGGGUGCUGCAUUUCAAACUGGGAAUCUAGAGUGCGGGAGAGGAGAAUGGAAUUCCUAGUGUAGCGGUGAAAUGCGUAGAGAUUAGGAAGAACACCAGUGGCGAAGGCGACUCUCUGGACCGUAACUGACGCUGAGGCAUGAAAGCGUGGGUAGCAAACAGGAUUAGAUACCCUGGUAGUCCACGCCGUAAACGAUGAGUACUAGGUGUAGGAGGUAUCGACCCCUUCUGUGCCGCAGUUAACACAAUAAGUACUCCGCCUGGGAAGUACGAUCGCAAGAUUAAAACUCAAAUGAAUUGACGGGGUCAUAGCUGUUUCCU
This 562-nucleotide ribosomal RNA is filed under the name uncultured bacterium. Its description in RNAcentral is "partial 16S ribosomal RNA". It matches the Rfam family "Bacterial small subunit ribosomal RNA", at positions 355 to 1375 of the family's 1533-position model. The record is from RNAcentral.